UGGGGAUAUUAAUUGCUCUGUAUGAACACAAAGUUUUCGUUCAAGGAGCAAUUUGGGGUAUUAAUUCAUUUGACCAAUGGGGGGUGGAGUUAGGAAAACAGCUUGCAAAAGCCAUCUUGAAAGAUUUAGCAGCUGAAGGGGAGGUUACAACACAUGAUUGUUCAACCAAUGGACUCAUCAAUCGCUUCAAGAGCAAAAAAUAAUUAGUUUUGAAGGGUUUUGAAAGAAAAAGUUGUGUUAUUGAUGGAGAAGAUGAAAGAAAAAACACAUUAAAAAACAUU
Molecule: non-coding RNA, 281 nt
Filed under: Paramoeba aestuarina
Lineage: Eukaryota; Discosea; Flabellinia; Dactylopodida; Paramoebidae
Source: RNAcentral